Molecule: ribosomal RNA, 725 nt
Filed under: uncultured bacterium
Lineage: Bacteria
Description: bacterial SSU rRNA
Rfam family: Bacterial small subunit ribosomal RNA
Source: RNAcentral
UAGAGUUUGAUCCUGGCUCAGGAUGAACGCUGGCGGCGUGCCUAAUACAUGCAAGUCGAACGAGGUGCCUUGUAGCCAAUACGAGGGUAUCCUAGUGGCGAACGGGUGAGUAACGCGUUGGUGACCUGCCCCAAAAGUGUGGGAUAACAGUUCGAAAGGACUGCUAAUACCGCAUGUGGUCAUCGGAUUUAGAAACCGAUGUCUAAAGCAGUAAUGCGCUUUGGGAGGGACCUGCGUCCCAUCAGCUAGUUGGUGAGGUAACGGCCCACCAAGGCUACGACGGGUAGGGGACCUGAGAGGGUGACCCCCCACAAUGGAACUGAAACACGGUCCAUACACCUACGGGGGCAGCAGUAGGGAAUAUUGCACAAUGGGGAAAGCCUGAUGCAGCAACGCCGCGUGCACGAAGAAGGUCUUCGGAUCGUAAAGUGCUUUUCUGAGAGAUGAGAAAGGACAGUAUCUCAGGAAUAAGUCUCGGCUAACUACGUGCCAGCAGCCGCGGUAAAACGUAGGAGGCAAGCGUUAUCCGGAUUCACUGGGCGUAAAGCGCGUGCAGGCGGUUCGGUAAGUUGGGCGUGAAAUCUCCCGGCUCAACUGGGAGAGGUCGUUCAAUACUACCGAGCUAGAGAGCAGUAGAGGAAGAUGGAAUUCCCGGUGUAGUGGUGAAAUGCGUAGAUAUCAGGAGGAAUACCAGUGGCGAAGGCGACUGCCUGGACUGACCCUGA